GACGAACGCUGGCGGCGUGCCUAAUACAUGCAAGUUGAGCGCUGAAGGUUGGUACUUGUACCAACUGGAUGAGCAGCGAACGGGUGAGUAACGCGUGGGGAAUCUGCCUUUGAGCGGGGGACAACAUUUGGAAACGAAUGCUAAUACCGCAUAAAAACUUUAAACACAAGUUUUAAGUUUGAAAGAUGCAAUUGCAUCACUCAAAGAUGAUCCCGCGUUGUAUUAGCUAGUUGGUGAGGUAAAGGCUCACCAAGGCGAUGAUACAUAGCCGACCUGAGAGGGUGAUCGGCCACAUUGGGACUGAGACACGGCCCAAACUCCUAAGGGAGGCAGCAGUAGGGAAUCUUCGGCAAUGGACGAAAGUCUGACCGAGCAACGCCGCGUGAGUGAAGAAGGUUGUCGGAUCGUAAAACUCGGUUGGUAGAGAAGAACGUUGGUGAGAGUGGAAAGCUCAUCAAGUGACGGUAACUACCCAGAAAGGGACGGCUAACUACGUG
RNAcentral lists this ribosomal RNA (497 nucleotides) under uncultured bacterium. RNAcentral's name for it is "partial 16S ribosomal RNA". It matches the Rfam family "Bacterial small subunit ribosomal RNA", at positions 28 to 507 of the family's 1533-position model. The record is from RNAcentral.